AGAGGAGCUGGACAAGUACUGGUCUCAGCAGAUUGAGGAGAGGACCACAGUGGUCACCACAGUCCGCCGAGGUUGGAGCUGCUGAGACGAC
This is a microRNA precursor of Mandrillus leucophaeus (drill), 91 nucleotides long. The record is from Ensembl. Lineage: Eukaryota; Metazoa; Chordata; Mammalia; Primates; Cercopithecidae.